RNAcentral lists this ribosomal RNA (253 nucleotides) under uncultured bacterium. RNAcentral's name for it is "partial 16S ribosomal RNA". It matches the Rfam family "Bacterial small subunit ribosomal RNA", at positions 524 to 776 of the family's 1533-position model. The record is from RNAcentral.
UACGUAGGGGGCGAGCGUUGUUCGGAUUUACUGGGCGUAAAGAGCGCGUAGGCGGUACGAUAAGUCGGAGGUGAAAUCCCUCGGCUCAACCGAGGACACGCGUCCGAUACUGUCGAACUUGAGUGCAGGGGAGGAGAGCGGAAUUCCCAGUGUAGCGGUGAAAUGCGUAGAUACUGGGAGGAACACCGGUGGCGAAGGCGGCUCUCUGGACUGUCACUGACGCUGAGGCGCGAAAGCUAGGGGAGCAAACGGG